RNAcentral lists this microRNA (22 nucleotides) under Caenorhabditis remanei. Its description in RNAcentral is "crm-miR-64a-3p". Its record names the gene crm-miR-64a-3p. Lineage: Eukaryota; Metazoa; Nematoda; Chromadorea; Rhabditida; Rhabditidae. The record is from miRBase by way of RNAcentral.
UGACUACGCUCAGUGGAAUACC